CGUAGGUGGCGAGCGUUGUCCGGAAUUACUGGGUGUAAAGGGCGUGUAGGCGGGAAUGUAAGUCAGAUGUGAAAUGCCGAGGCUUAACCUCGGAGCUGCAUCUGAAACUGCGUUUCUUGAGUGUCGGAGAGGAAAGUGGAAUUCCCAGUGUAGCGGUGAAAUGCGUAGAUAUUGGGAGGAACACCAGUGGCGAAGGCGACUUUCUGGACGAUAACUGACGCUGAGGCGCGAAAGCGUGGGGAGCAAACAGGAUUAGAUACCCUGGUAGUCCACGCUGUAAACGAUGGAUACUAGGUGUGGGAGGUAUCGACCCCUUCCGUGCCGCAGUUAACACAAUAAGUAUCCCACCUGGGGAGUACGGCCGCAAGGUUG
This 372-nucleotide ribosomal RNA is filed under the name uncultured organism. RNAcentral describes it as "bacterial SSU rRNA". It matches the Rfam family "Bacterial small subunit ribosomal RNA", at positions 526 to 896 of the family's 1533-position model. The record is from RNAcentral.